RNAcentral lists this ribosomal RNA (476 nucleotides) under Streptococcus sp. oral taxon 064. RNAcentral's name for it is "bacterial SSU rRNA". It matches the Rfam family "Bacterial small subunit ribosomal RNA", at positions 28 to 489 of the family's 1533-position model. Lineage: Bacteria; Bacillati; Bacillota; Bacilli; Lactobacillales; Streptococcaceae. The record is from RNAcentral.
GACGAACGCUGGCGGCGUGCCUAAUACAUGCAAGUAGAACGCUGAAGGAGGAGCUUGCUCUUCUGGACGGAGUUGCGAACGGGUGAGUAACGCGUAGGUAACCUGCCUGGUAGCGGGGGAUAACUAUUGGAAACGAUAGCUAAUACCGCAUAAGAGUAGAUGUUGCAUGACAUUUGCUUAAAAGGUGCAAUUGCAUCACUACCAGAUGGACCUGCGUUGUAUUAGCUAGUUGGUGAGGUAACGGCUCACCAAGGCGACGAUACAUAGCCGACCUGAGAGGGUGAUCGGCCACACUGGGACUGAGACACGGCCCAGACUUCUACGGGAGGCAGCAGUAGGGAAUCUUCGGCAAUGGACGGAAGUCUGACCGAGCAACGCCGCGUGAGUGAAGAAGGUCUUCGGAUCGUAAAGCUCUGUUGUAAGAGAAGAACGAGUGUGAGAGUGGAAAGUUCACACUGUGACGUAUCUACCAGAAA